GGAGGCGUGGCUGAGCGGCCGAAAGCAGCACACUGCUAAUGUGCUAGGGUAGAAAUGCCCUCGCAGGUUCGAAUCCUGCCGCCUCCG
RNAcentral lists this transfer RNA (87 nucleotides) under bacterium. RNAcentral describes it as "tRNA-Ser". It matches the Rfam family "tRNA". Rfam says of the family: Transfer RNA (tRNA) molecules are approximately 80 nucleotides in length. Their secondary structure includes four short double-helical elements and three loops (D, anti-codon, and T loops). Further hydrogen bonds mediate the characteristic L-shaped molecular structure. tRNAs have two regions of fundamental functional importance: the anti-codon, which is responsible for specific mRNA codon recognition, and the 3' end, to which the tRNAs corresponding amino acid is attached (by aminoacyl-tRNA synthetases). tRNAs cope with the degeneracy of the genetic code in two manners: having more than one tRNA (with a specific anti-codon) for a particular amino acid; and 'wobble' base-pairing, i.e. permitting non-standard base-pairing at the 3rd anti-codon position. The record is from RNAcentral.